This 29-nucleotide transfer RNA is filed under the name Pseudolycopodiella caroliniana. RNAcentral's name for it is "partial tRNA-Leu". The record is from RNAcentral. Lineage: Eukaryota; Viridiplantae; Streptophyta; Lycopodiopsida; Lycopodiales; Lycopodiaceae.
AAAAUUCGUUGGCUUUAUAGACCGUGAGG